GAAACAGGUGAAUUGUUAAUUGGUUUCCCUCUGUUAUUUACUGUUGAUUUGUAUGCUAAAUUACCUCAUAUGCUGUAGGAUGUUUUGUAAUGCAUGAUAACAUAAUCUUUAUUACUAUACAAACAAAGGUUAUUAUAAAAAAGUUAUGUGAUACUAAAAACUGUUGUAAUAUAUAUAUAUAAAAAAAUUGCAUUUAUAAAGCUACAUAUUUUACAUUUCAUAUUUAUUACCCAUCUUAGAUAAUUGUGAAUUAAGUGUAAUAAUAUGUGUGUCAAUCUAUUUUCAAAUCCAUAUCCGGUUAAAGUUUUGGUGUAAUGUAGUUUACCAUGAAGUUGUGGUCAAAUCAAUUUCAAGUUAGUGCACAUGUUCAUUAUGAUAUAAAAUGUACCAACAAAGAUAUUGGACUCCAAGGAAACUAAAAAAUAGGAAAGUAAACAUGACAAAUAAAGGGAACAGAAGUAUACCGCUUUUUAAUAGUCAUAAAUCGAAUAAGUGAAAACAUAUCCAGGUAACAAACUAAAUUGAAGGAAACACAUCAACUAUAAGAGGGAAACAAUAGAACAAAAAAUACUAAACUGCAACAAAAACAAAGGCAUAAAUUAAAACAAACUAUUUGAUAACAUUUGCCACUUUCCUGAGUUGAUACAGGACAUUUUUUCUUGAAAUGGUGGGUUGAACGUUGUAUAUGGCUAGCCAGACCUCCUGUUAUAUGGCAAUGUUAAAAAUUUAGAUGCUCUAUUCAACCAAGGAAAUGACUAGAAGACAUACAUAUUUUGGUCAACAUAUUAAUUUUUAUAAAAUUAUUAAGGAGAUGUGGUUUGAUUUGUGGUUUCAGGCAAAUAUAGAAAAUCGUCUGUAUAUAAAACUUUGAACUUAUUUAAGCUUUUAUUGACCCAAUCCUAUCAAGAUUGACAAAAUGUAUGCAUAUCCGUCUAUUGACAUGCAUACAUUUUGAUACAAUAGUUGUUAUCCAUUCGUUUGAUAUGUUUGAGCUUUUGAUAUUGCCAUUUGAUAAGGGGAACUUUCCGUUUUGAAUUUCUCACAGAGUUCAGUAUUUUUGUGAUUUUACUUUUAUUAAGGAUCGGAUUGGAAAAGGAACAAAAGACUAUAUUGUUGAGCUUUUUCCUCUUCUGUUCUAAAGCAUGUUAAACAGAUUUCAUAUAAACAAAUUAUAAGCUAUAAUAAAUGUGAAUACUUGAUCAAUCAAUCAAUCAUUCUGAUGGGCAUUACGAUGAUACAUUAUAACUGAGUGCUGUCUAACUAAGUUCUUAAAUACUUACUUGAAAUCUUGGACUAUUUAUUGAUCAUUUUAAUCAUUGUUACGAUAUAUCACAAUUUGAAUAAAUUAUAUAGAUUGUAUUUGUUUUUAUGCACCAUUUAUGGGCAUUAUGUUUUCUGGUCUGUGCGUCCGUUCGUUUGUCGAUCCGUUCGUCAGUCUGUCUGUC
Molecule: long non-coding RNA, 1445 nt
Filed under: Mytilus galloprovincialis (Mediterranean mussel)
Lineage: Eukaryota; Metazoa; Mollusca; Bivalvia; Mytilida; Mytilidae
Source: RNAcentral